AACUCGUGGACGCAAUUUAGCGACCCGUGACGCUAACGGCAGGUACACGUGAAACUUGAUAACUCUUGAACAUUUUCAAACAUGUUAAAAGUUUUCCACAAGUCAAAUUUACUGUUGAAGUUAAAAAUUGAAACAUUUAAACUCGUUGUAAUAACUUGGUGGCACGUGAGUUAAACUUAGUGACUCUUGCGUCUACCGUGUUAACUCUUUUAACUCAGCGGG
Amblyraja radiata (thorny skate) is the source of this 222-nucleotide long non-coding RNA. RefSeq lists it as uncharacterized. The transcript has 3 exons. The record is from RefSeq and is a predicted model, not a curated record. NCBI's taxonomy places the organism in Eukaryota, Metazoa, Chordata, Chondrichthyes, Rajiformes, Rajidae.